AGCGGUUCCGGUCACAUGACCGCGUGGACCAAUCACCGCUGGAGGCGGGGCGGGGCGAUUGGCCAGGCUGCAUCAUGUGACCGCGCCAGGCGGGGCCGAGCCUGUCGGGGAGGCCGGAAGGCAGCGGCAAGUGGGCCGAAGUUGGCUGGACUUUGGCCCAUCAGCUGAGGUCCAGCAGUGUGUCUGACGGCUACCAUCGCGGUGAAGCCGCAAAGAGCAGAAGCCGCAUCUUAAGCUUACUACACGGUGAGUGCAGCUGCAGCCCAGAGGGCAGACUGUCUGCCAAUGAAGCGGCCAUGGCCUGGCUGCGUGGCAGAGGGAUGUCCACACUUGCCCUGUGGUACGCUUGCAGGCUCGAAGUCUUUCUCCUGACUCCGUGGGUCCUGAAUAUCCUGCUACUUUCUGCACAAAAACCCUGGUCUCUCUGACACCCGACACGGAGGACAGUCACCCAGCGUAGUUACUGGGACGUGGGGGUUGGGGUAGAUAGCGGUAAGCUCUCCGCAGGGGCCGAUGCCUCGGAGCCCACGUCUUCUGCACCAAAUGGGCGUCCUUCAGACUCAACCCCCUUGAAAUCCACCGCAGUUUGGAGACCAGCAGAGGCAGGGCUGGAGAAGGCGUCAGCAGGGGAGGCCCCUUCUUCCAGCUCCACCCCCGGAGCCAGAGGCCAGGCCGGGGCCUAGAGGGGGCCUUCUCCCCAACGUGGGACACACAGCUCAGCCCCCCACCCCCACCAGGCACUCCUUUCCAAGCCAUCCUGGUGCAGGGCAUGUGGUUCAGAGUACCAGUGCUGGGGUCAGGGUGGAUCAGGGUUCGCCACCCCGUCCCUCCAGGAGCUCUGGUCCCAUCUCAUCGGCUGUACGAUGAGGUGACAACCACGCCUCCUUCCGGGGCUGGCAUAGGACCGCCUGGCUGGGUGCAGGAGAACCCACAGCGCCCAGCUGCCACACCGCGCGUGCUCAGGCUGGGGUGGCGUUAGUGACAAGCCCACCUGCUCCUGGAGGCCUUUGCCUUUGUGGGUUUUGGAUGGAGACCCAGCGGGGACACCUGGUUACUAGUCUUUGUGGGUUUUGGGACCCAGCGGGGACACCUGGUUACUAGUCUUUGUGGGUUUUGGGACCCAGCGGGGACACCUGGUUACUAGUCUUUGUGGGUUUUGGGACCCAGCGGGGACACCUGGUUACUAGUCUUUGUGGGUUUUGGGACCCAGCGGGGACACCUGGUUACUAGUCUUUGUGGGUUUUGGGACCCAGCGGGGACACCUGGUUAACAGUCUUUGUGGGUUUUGGGACCCAGCGGGGACACCUGGUUAACAGUCUUUGUGGGUUUUGGGACCCAGCGGGGACACCUGGUUACUAGUCUUUGUGGGUUUUGGGACCCAGCGGGGACACCUGGUUACUAGUCUUUGUGGGUUUUGGGACCCAGCGGGGACACCUGGUUACUAGUCUUUGUGGGUUUUGGGACCCAGCGGGGACACCUGAUUACUAGUCUUUGUGGGUUUUGGGACCCAGCGGGGACACCUGGUUACUAGUCUUUGUGGGUUUUGGGACCCAGCGGGGACACCUGGUUACUAGUCUUUGUGGGUAAGAGGCUGCAGUUUCUCCUUGGGGUCAGCCUCUUCCUUUGUGAGUUGCUGGGGCACAUGUGGGUGGCCUGGGUUGGGCCCUGCUAUCCCUGGGCCUCUUCUGCCUCUGGGUUCAUUUUUUCACACCUGCACUUCUCUGGCCCCUCAGCAAGUCCUUAUUGAGCCCCUACCACACCAGGCCCUGCACUGGGCAAGGAGACAGCACAGAACAAGAGGAUAUGGUCUGUGCCCACAAGGGCCCGGUCAGGGCCCCCUCGAAGGCCACAUGUCCUCUCUCAAUCGAGCCUCUGGGCAGGCCCAGCUGUGGACACCCCAGGCAGGUUGCCAACAAGUAGGAGUUCAGCUCUGCGCCAGGCCCAGUGCUGGGUGCUGAGGCUGCACAGGCAGGGCCCCCGCCCGGGAGAUGGGGGGUGGGGUAGGUACACCCUGCUGAGGGAGCCCCGAGGAAUCAUGCCUCACCCAGAUGGGCUGAGCCCUGAAGAAGGGGUGGUUUUCCAGGGGAAGCCUGAGGGCGGUCCAGGCAGAAGGAACAGCAGACCCAAGGGGCUGGAGGUGUCCAGGCUGCAUGCGGGGGGAUCCAGAGAGCAGUGAACAGAGAUGGGCGGAGAACCUUCAAGGGCCUGUGCUGUGAAUUUGGACUUUAUCCUGGAAACUGUGAGGCUCAGAGACAUUGGAGGAGUGUCAGGUGACCAGUGUUACAUUUUGGGAUGGUCACUCUGGCUGCAGCGUG
Neofelis nebulosa (Clouded leopard) is the source of this 2315-nucleotide long non-coding RNA. RefSeq lists it as uncharacterized. The transcript is spliced from 3 exons. NCBI's taxonomy places the organism in Eukaryota, Metazoa, Chordata, Mammalia, Carnivora, Felidae. The record is from RefSeq and is a predicted model, not a curated record.